AUAGAAAUAAUCAGAAGAUCCUGUAUAUCCUUUAUCUAGAUUCCCCAUGGAGAUAUGUUGCAAAGAUGUACCACAAAACAACUCAUUGGCUAACAGCAGAAUCUCACCAGACAAAAUGUUCAUGUGUUGAUGAAUGAAGGCUCCUCGUGUGAUACCAAGCUCAGAAGGACACUUACAUCUGCAGCUCUGGCCUAGAAGUUACCAUGACAACUUCUGAGUGAUGGGAUUUCCUUUAUCAUCUAUUACAGGGUAAGUGUACUAGUGAUGAACUCCCUAAGAUUAUCUUUUUUUGGAAAUGUAGUAAUUUCUUCUUCAUUUUUGACAGUGCUGGGUAUCAAAUCCAGGAAUUCACACAUGCUAGACAGACACUCUGCCACUGAGCUACAUCCCCAGUUCCUCUUGGUCACUCUUGAAGGUUAAUUUUGCCAUAUAUAGAAUUCCUACAUGGCAGAUGGCUUUCCCCCAGCACUUAAAAUAUACUA
Castor canadensis (American beaver) is the source of this 482-nucleotide non-coding RNA. NCBI's taxonomy places the organism in Eukaryota, Metazoa, Chordata, Mammalia, Rodentia, Castoridae. The record is from RefSeq and is a predicted model, not a curated record.